UCCUGAGUGGCUUAGUCAGUUAAGCGUCUGACUUUGGCUCAGGUCAUGAUCUCAUGGUUCGUGGGUUUGAGCCCCGCAUCGUGAU
This 85-nucleotide transfer RNA is filed under the name Felis catus (domestic cat). It matches the Rfam family "tRNA". From Rfam's summary of the family: Transfer RNA (tRNA) molecules are approximately 80 nucleotides in length. Their secondary structure includes four short double-helical elements and three loops (D, anti-codon, and T loops). Further hydrogen bonds mediate the characteristic L-shaped molecular structure. tRNAs have two regions of fundamental functional importance: the anti-codon, which is responsible for specific mRNA codon recognition, and the 3' end, to which the tRNAs corresponding amino acid is attached (by aminoacyl-tRNA synthetases). tRNAs cope with the degeneracy of the genetic code in two manners: having more than one tRNA (with a specific anti-codon) for a particular amino acid; and 'wobble' base-pairing, i.e. permitting non-standard base-pairing at the 3rd anti-codon position. Lineage: Eukaryota; Metazoa; Chordata; Mammalia; Carnivora; Felidae. The record is from Rfam by way of RNAcentral. RNAcentral also lists the same sequence under 5 other names.